CCCCGGGCGCACCACCGGCCC
RNAcentral lists this microRNA (21 nucleotides) under Gallus gallus (chicken). RNAcentral describes it as "microRNA Ros-gga". Lineage: Eukaryota; Metazoa; Chordata; Aves; Galliformes; Phasianidae. The record is from RNAcentral.